This 249-nucleotide long non-coding RNA is filed under the name Marmota monax (woodchuck). Lineage: Eukaryota; Metazoa; Chordata; Mammalia; Rodentia; Sciuridae. The record is from RNAcentral.
GGCUGACAUAGCAUGUGACCAGUGUUUGCUUCCCCUUCUGAUUGGUGUAGCACUGUUGGUCACCCCAUGAUCUGGUUGCUUUAAGUAACCCAAGAUGGUAGCCCAGAUCUUGAGGGUAGAGAAAACACAAAUGUGUCUUCAUGCAUGGGCCUGCCUUCCUACAUCCCCAUGGGUCAAGCUAUGCUCACCUGUUCCUUUGUGAUAUUAACCCUUUGCCCUGUUUGGGAUAGAAUAUUCCAUGGAAACGCC